Molecule: ribosomal RNA, 253 nt
Filed under: uncultured bacterium
Lineage: Bacteria
Description: partial 16S ribosomal RNA
Rfam family: Bacterial small subunit ribosomal RNA
Source: RNAcentral
UACGUAGGGGGCAAGCGUUAUCCGGAUUUACUGGGUGUAAAGGGGGCGCAGACGGCGCGGCAAGUCCGGAGUGAAAUCCCAGGGCCCAACCCUGGGGCUGCUCUGGAAACUGCCGGGCUGGAGUGCUGGAGGGGCAGGCGGAAUUCCUAGUGUAGUGGUGAAAUGCGUAGAUAUCAGGAGGAACACCGGUGGCGAAGGCGGCCUGCUGGACUGCAACUGACGUUGAGGCCCGAAAGCGUGGGGAGCAAACAGG